UCUGACGGUGCGUCAUCCCAUUCGCGCUAAGCUGCAAGCGCCCCGCGGGGGAAGUCCGGUCGAAAUCCGGCGCUGACCCGCAACGGUAGGCGGAGCCCGAUACGUGGACCCGUAAGCCCGAUUACCCGCGGCGGUGAAGGCUCCUGU
Streptomyces atratus is the source of this 147-nucleotide non-coding RNA. Lineage: Bacteria; Bacillati; Actinomycetota; Actinomycetes; Kitasatosporales; Streptomycetaceae. The record is from Rfam.